UUUUUUUUUUUUUUUUUCAGAUAGGGUCUCACUCUGUCACCCAAGCUAGAGUACAGUGGCAUGAUCAAAGCUCACUGUAGCCUCCACUUCCCAGGCCCAAGUGAUCCUCCUUCUACCUCAGCUUCCAGAGUAACUGGGACUACAGACUUGCACCACUACGCCUGGCUAAAUUUUUUUUUUUUCUUUGAACCGCAGUCUUGCUCUGUCACCCAGGCUGGAGUGCAGUGGCCGAUCUCAGCUCACUGCAACCUCUGCCUCCCAGGUUCAAGCAAUUCUCCUGCCUCAGCCUCCUGAGUAGCUAGGACUACAGGUGCCUACCACCACACUUGGCUAGUUUUCUGUAUUUUUAGUAGAGAUGGGGUUUCCCCAUGUUAGCCAGGAUGGUCUCCAUCUCCUGACCUCGUGAUCUGCCUGUCUUGGCCUCCCAGUGCUGGGAUUACAGGUGUGAGCCCUGUGAGUCUUUGACAGCUUCUUUGCUCACUGAUUUUUCUAGGUGUUCCAGACUCUUCCUGUGCUCUUCCCCAGACCUGGAAUCAGUGUUUCUCUAAGGAGUCUUGGUUCCCUUGAGAAGGAAAUGGUAUUUAGAGAUCACAAGCUGGGUGCUAGAGGUAUAAUCGGCUUUAAUUUUUUUUUCACUUUUUAUUUUGAAAUAAUUUUAGACUUACAGAAACGUUGCAAAAAUAGCACAGAGUUCCCGUAUAUCCUCUUACCCAGCUUCCUCUAAGGUUAACAUCUUACAUAACCAUAGUGCAUUUAUCAAACCAAUACAUUCACAUUGGCACAAUACUAUUAGCUGAACUACAGACUUGAUUCCGAUUUUACCAAUUUUUCCACUAACAUCCCAUUUUUGGGUGUGUUUAUUUGUUUUUCUGUCCUGGGAUCCAAUCCAGGUAAAUCAUCAUGUCUCCUUACCCUCCUUAAUGACAGUUCCUCAGUCUUUCCUUAUCCAUGACCUCAACACUUUUGAAGAAUACUGGUCAGGCAUUUGGGGAUUUGUUUGUUUGUUUGUUUUGUUUUGUUUUUGAGAUGGAGUCUCACUCUGUUGCCCAGGCUGGAGUGCAGUGGCACAAUCUCGGCUCACUGUAACCUCUACCUCCUGGGUUCAAGCAAUUCUCCUGCCUCAGCCUCCUGAGUAGCUAGGAUUACAGGCGCAUGCCACUAUGCCCAGCUAAUUUUUUUUUUCUUUUUUUAAUUUUUUAUUUUAGUAGAGAUUGGGUUUCACCAUGUUUCCCAGGCUGGUCUUGAACUCCUGAGCUCAGGUGAUCCACCCAGCUCGGCCUCCCAAAGUGCUGGUACUACAGGCGUGAGCCACCUCGCCUGGCCUGUUUUUUUUGUUGUUGUUUUGUUUUGUUUUGAGACAGGGUCUUGCUCUGUCACCCAGACUGGAGUGCAGUGGCACAAACCAUUUUACUGCAGCCUCAACCUCCUGGGCUCAUGCAACGCUCCCGCCUCAGCCUGCUGAGUAGCUGGGGCCACAGGUGCACACUAAUUACUUUUUAAUUUUUGGUAGAGAUGGGGUUUCACUAUGUUGCCCAGGUUGGUCUCAAACACCUGGGCUCAAGCCAUCCUCCCAUCUGGGCCUCGCAAAGCACUGGAAUGACAGGCAUGAGCCACUGCAUCUGGCCUGGUCAGGUGUUUCACAGAAUGUCCUUCACUUUGGAUUUGUCACUCCUUCCUACCUACCUACGUACCUUC
RNAcentral lists this long non-coding RNA (1695 nucleotides) under Macaca fascicularis (crab-eating macaque). RNAcentral's name for it is "lncRNA (ENSMFAG00000054392.1)". Lineage: Eukaryota; Metazoa; Chordata; Mammalia; Primates; Cercopithecidae. The record is from RNAcentral.